GGGGCCGUAGCUCAGUUGGUUAGAGCGCUUCCCUGUCACGGAAGAGGCCGCGGGUUCGAGUCCCGUCGGCCCCGCCA
Molecule: transfer RNA, 77 nt
Filed under: candidate division WWE3 bacterium
Lineage: Bacteria; candidate division WWE3
Description: tRNA-Asp
Rfam family: tRNA
About the family: Transfer RNA (tRNA) molecules are approximately 80 nucleotides in length. Their secondary structure includes four short double-helical elements and three loops (D, anti-codon, and T loops). Further hydrogen bonds mediate the characteristic L-shaped molecular structure. tRNAs have two regions of fundamental functional importance: the anti-codon, which is responsible for specific mRNA codon recognition, and the 3' end, to which the tRNAs corresponding amino acid is attached (by aminoacyl-tRNA synthetases). tRNAs cope with the degeneracy of the genetic code in two manners: having more than one tRNA (with a specific anti-codon) for a particular amino acid; and 'wobble' base-pairing, i.e. permitting non-standard base-pairing at the 3rd anti-codon position.
Source: RNAcentral